Molecule: ribosomal RNA, 501 nt
Filed under: uncultured bacterium
Lineage: Bacteria
Description: partial 16S ribosomal RNA
Rfam family: Bacterial small subunit ribosomal RNA
Source: RNAcentral
AUUGAACACUGGCGGCAUGCCUUACACAUGCAAGUCGAACGGCAGCACGGGUGCUUGCACCUGGUGGCGAGUGGCGAACGGGUGAGUAAUACAUCGGAACGUACCUUAUCGUGGGGGAUAACGCAGCGAAAGCUGUGCUAAUACCGCAUACGCCCUGAGGGGGAAAGCGGGGGAUCGCAAGACCUCGCGCGAUUAGAGCGGCCGAUGCCUGAUUAGCUUGUUGGUGGGGUAAAAGCCCACCAAGGCGACGAUCAGUAGCUGGUCUGGGAGGACGAUCAGCCACACUGGGACUGAGACACGGCCCAGACUCCUACGGGAGGCAGCAGUGGGGAAUUUUGGACAAUGGGGGCAACCCUGAUCCAGCAAUGCCGCGUGAGUGAAGAAGGCCUUCGGGUUGUAAAGCUCUUUUGUCAGGGAAGAAACACCGGCUCUAACACAGUCCGGGAAUGACGGUACCUGAAGAAUAAGCACCGGCUAACUACGUGCCAGCCGCCGCGGUAA